AGUGAACGCUGGCGGUAGGCCUAACACAUGCAAGUCGAACGGCAGCACAGUAAGAGCUUGCUCUUACGGGUGGCGAGUGGCGGACGGGUGAGGAAUACAUCGGAAUCUACUUUUUCGUGGGGGAUAACGUAGGGAAACUUACGCUAAUACCGCAUACGACCUACGGGUGAAAGCAGGGGAUCUUCGGACCUUGCGCGAUUGAAUGAGCCGAUGUCGGAUUAGUUAGUUGGCGGGGUAAAGGCCCACCAAGGCGACGAUCCGUAGCUGGUCUGAGAGGAUGAUCAGCCACCCUGGAGCUGAGCCACGUUCCAGACUCCUACGGGAGGCAGCAGUGGGGAAUAUUGGACAAUGGGCGCAACCCUGAUCCAGCCAUACCGCGUGGGUGAAGAAGGCCUUCGGGUUGUAAAGCCCUUUUGUUGGGAAAGAAAAGCAGCAGGUUAAUACCCCGCUGUUCUGACGGUACCCAAAGAAUAAGCACCGGCUAACUUCGUG
RNAcentral lists this ribosomal RNA (492 nucleotides) under uncultured bacterium. RNAcentral's name for it is "partial 16S ribosomal RNA". It matches the Rfam family "Bacterial small subunit ribosomal RNA", at positions 29 to 507 of the family's 1533-position model. The record is from RNAcentral.